AACGAACGCUGGCGGCGUGCUUAACACAUGCAAGUCGAACGGGUUUAUUGGAUGUAGCAAUACAUUCAAUAGAUUAGUGGCGCACGGGUGAGUAACACGUAGGCAACCUACCCUUCAGUGGGGGACAACAGAGGGAAACUUCUGCUAAUACCGCAUACGGCCUAGCGGGAGCUAGAAGAAAGGGACGCGAGUCCCGCUGAAAGAGGAGCCUGCGGCCGAUUAGCUAGUUGGUGAGGUAACGGCCCACCAAGGCGAUGAUCGGUAGCUGGUCUGAGAGGACGAUCAGCCACACUGGAACUGGGACACGGUCCAGACUCCUACGGGAGGCAGCAGUAAGGAAUAUUGCACAAUGGGGGAAACCCUGAUGCAGCAACGCCGCGUGAGUGACGAAGGCCUUCGG
Molecule: ribosomal RNA, 400 nt
Filed under: uncultured bacterium
Lineage: Bacteria
Description: bacterial SSU rRNA
Rfam family: Bacterial small subunit ribosomal RNA
Source: RNAcentral